GGUGUGGUGGCGGAAUUGGUAGACGCGCACAGGUUGAAACAGCGUUAAAAGAUUGUUAGCUCCCUGGUGGUUUCGGCCAUGUGGGUUCGAGUCCCCCUCACGCGC
Non-coding RNA from Hyaloscypha variabilis F, 105 nucleotides. The record is from the annotation of a GenBank genome assembly. NCBI's taxonomy places the organism in Eukaryota, Fungi, Ascomycota, Leotiomycetes, Helotiales, Hyaloscyphaceae.